Arabidopsis lyrata subsp. lyrata is the source of this 1036-nucleotide long non-coding RNA. RefSeq lists it as uncharacterized. The record is from RefSeq and is a predicted model, not a curated record. Lineage: Eukaryota; Viridiplantae; Streptophyta; Magnoliopsida; Brassicales; Brassicaceae. The transcript is spliced from 2 exons.
UAUUAUUUCUAAGUCAUGAGAUAUGCUAUAUGCUGUCCAUGUUUUCGUGUGUUAUCAUAUUACUCGUUUUGAGUCAGGUUCAAAAUAAUAUAUUAGCUUGUGUUUAGAUUUGAUUGGUUAGUUAAAAAAAUUCGGAACUUUGAUUGCGAAAAUAGUAUUGCAAUUAAGAAAAAUAGGACAGAAGUUCUACAUAUGUUGUGUCUCAAAAAUGUCUGGUCCUUUAGAAAUGGAGGUCAUAAUUAAAAAGAUAUUAAUAUAAAAACAAAUAUUAUUUAAAUACUAUAAUAAUAGAUGAAAAAUAUAUGAAUUAGUAGAUGCAUAUGAAGUUUGUAAACAAAAUUUAUUGGGAUCAAAACCUAAUUUUCACUAAUAAUUUACGAAAUUCAAUCAAAUUUACACUAUAAAUAGUUAUAUGUUAAUUUUUAUAGGAGUUUCAUGACACCCCUAACCUCUUCUUACUACUCGUCUCUUGUCAAUAAGCAUUGUUUGCAUUUUAAUGGAUUAUUUACUAAUUUGGUUACAUAUAGUCGCAAAUAAAGGUUUGACUUAGCCCCACCGUUAUCUAUUAGUAGAUUCAACUAUUUUUAUCAUGUGUUUGGGUAUAUAUAUGAUUGUUAAGAGAUUAAGACAAAAUAUGACUUUACGUAUUCAUACAUCAAGAGAUAAUUUUAUACAGCAUUUAUAAGUUAUGAGAUCUGCUACAUUGUUCACAUUUUCUUGUGUUAUCAUGUUAUUUGUUUUGGGUCAUUUUCAAGAGAAGUAUGCUCGGGUGCCAAAAAAGGUGUGCAGAUAAGAAGCGAUGCAUGCGUAGCAGCUUUUAAUAAGAGAAAAAACAAGUUUUUGGAUGUGAGUGUUUAGGAUAUAAUAAUCCUAGUACUUGUGUAUGUAAUACUACUGCUUGCUAAUUAAACAUUAUUUUAUACCUCCAUAACCAAAAUAUAUUUACUAGUUAAUAAAUAAUAAAAAUGCUAUGGGAGCUCUUUAUGUUGGACAUGUAAGCUAAAAUACUCAUUUCAGAAUAAUGUUAUUAUUAUUA